Gordionus sp. m RMFG-2023 is the source of this 308-nucleotide long non-coding RNA. RefSeq lists it as uncharacterized. NCBI's taxonomy places the organism in Eukaryota, Metazoa, Nematomorpha, Gordioida, Chordodea, Parachordodidae. The record is from RefSeq and is a predicted model, not a curated record. The transcript is spliced from 3 exons.
CAACUAUAUCCUGAAAAUGAAAUGCCAUAUGGAAAAUAUUAUAAUAUUUGGUAUUUAGGAAAGGAAAAACUUAUGGAUUCAAAUGUUUAAAGUACAAAAAAAAGAUAGGAACAGGGAAUUCCAGUUUGCGUCAGAAAACAUUAUUAGGGGAGACCGGGGAUAGUGUUAUCCCGGGGCAGAUUCUUCAAUGAUUCUAAAAAUGUUUCGCAGAAAUAUGCUCAAGAAAAGGUCCUAAAUGCAUAUUUAAAUUUUAAUUUAAUAAAAAUUUUUUAUAAAAGUUACACAGACUAAUAAAUAUCAAUUCUAAA